Molecule: ribosomal RNA, 22 nt
Filed under: Ceratozamia mexicana (Mexican horncone)
Lineage: Eukaryota; Viridiplantae; Streptophyta; Cycadopsida; Cycadales; Zamiaceae
Also listed under: 2 other names
Description: partial 26S rRNA
Source: RNAcentral
CGACCCCAGGUCAGGCGAGAGU